RNAcentral lists this RNase P RNA (410 nucleotides) under Subtercola sp. PAMC28395. RNAcentral's name for it is "Bacterial RNase P class A". It matches the Rfam family "Bacterial RNase P class A". From Rfam's summary of the family: Ribonuclease P (RNase P) is a ubiquitous endoribonuclease, found in archaea, bacteria and eukarya as well as chloroplasts and mitochondria. Its best characterised activity is the generation of mature 5'-ends of tRNAs by cleaving the 5'-leader elements of precursor-tRNAs. The record is from Rfam by way of RNAcentral. Lineage: Bacteria; Bacillati; Actinomycetota; Actinomycetes; Micrococcales; Microbacteriaceae.
UGGGUCGGCAAGACGGUCGCGUUGGCUCGAGCAUCCGUCGUUCUGCGACAGGUGCGGCAGUCACCGAGGAACGUCCGGGCUCCGCAGAGCAGGGCGGUGGGUAACACCCACCCGGGGCAACCCGAGAGAACAGUGCCACAGAAAACAGACCGCCCUGGCUCCUUCGGGAGCCGGUGGUAAGGGUGAAACGGUGGUGUAAGAGACCACCAGCUGCCAUGGUGACAUGGCUGGCUAGGUAAACCUCGCCCGGAGCAAGGUCAGACAGAAGGCGAUACGGCUGCUCGUCGUGUCUUCGGGUAGACCGCUGGAGGCGUGCGGCAACGUACGUCGUAGAUAGAUGGCCGUCCAUGGGUUCGUGCGUUUUUCGCAGGGGCCCAAGACAGAACCCGGCGUAGCAGCCGGCCCAUUCG